UUGGACCUGAUAUCANGCAAGAUUACCCGCUGAACUUAANCAUAUCAAUAA
Molecule: ribosomal RNA, 51 nt
Filed under: Phytophthora quercina
Lineage: Eukaryota; Oomycota; Peronosporomycetes; Peronosporales; Peronosporaceae
Description: partial 28S ribosomal RNA
Source: RNAcentral